Molecule: ribosomal RNA, 445 nt
Filed under: uncultured bacterium
Lineage: Bacteria
Description: SSU rRNA
Rfam family: Bacterial small subunit ribosomal RNA
Source: RNAcentral
AGAACGAACGCUGGCGGCAGGCCUCAAACAUGCAAGUCUAGGGGGUGUAGCAAUACAUCACCGGCGGACGGGUGCGUAACACGUGGGAAUAUACCUUUUGGUUCGGAACAACGCAGGGAAACUUGCGCUAAUACCGAAUGUGCCCUUACGGGGAAAGAUUUAUCGCCAAAGGAUUAGCCCGCGUAGGAUUAGCUAGUUGGUGAGGUAAUGGCUCACCAAGGCUCCGAUCCUUAGCUGUUCUGAGAGGAAGAUCAGCCACACUGGGACUGAGACACGGCCCAGACUCCUACGGGAGGCAGCAGUUGGGAAUCUUGGACAAUGGGGAAACCCUGAUCCAGCCAUGCCGCGUGAGUGAUGAAGGCCUUCGGGUUGUAAAACUCUUUCGACGGGGACAUAAUGACGGUACCCGUAGAAGAGCUCCGGCUAACUUCGCGCCAGCAGCCGC